CUUCAAUAAGGUGCUCAAGGUGUACGUGCAUUACCCAUGACGGCAAUAGUUCAAUACACAUUUGACAAGAUGAAUGAAUACUUUUUGAAGCACUCAAUGGAGACUGAUAAGCAGAUUGCUGGUGAGAACAAGGAUAAGCACAAGUACAAUUUCCCACCAAAGGUUGAAGAAUGGUUGGAAUUUCAAUCACGAAAGGCAGACUCCGAAGAAGCUGUUCUAUAUGACGACAACGAGUGGAAGUAUGAGGUGAAAGAGCCCGGAGGAACCACAAAUGAUGGCCGCCAGCACGGAGGCCGGGCUUUCAAGGUCUCCCUAACACGGUGUGAUUGCAGCUGCAUGAGGCCGUCUUUGCUUCAUCUCCCAUGCUCGCACUUGUUAAAUGCAUCCCGGGUUAGGAAUGUGGACGUCAAUCACCCUCUAACCGUGAGGGAGUCCGAGUUCUCAAUCAUGACGGUAAAGAAGACAUGGACUCCACGGUUCCAGCCAUACUUGGACCAAUCACAAUGGCCGGAGUAUCAUGGAGUUCAACUAUGGCCGGACCCG
This 543-nucleotide ribosomal RNA is filed under the name Triticum aestivum (bread wheat). Its description in RNAcentral is "partial small subunit ribosomal RNA". Lineage: Eukaryota; Viridiplantae; Streptophyta; Magnoliopsida; Poales; Poaceae. The record is from RNAcentral.